Molecule: transfer RNA, 74 nt
Filed under: Lacticaseibacillus pabuli
Lineage: Bacteria; Bacillati; Bacillota; Bacilli; Lactobacillales; Lactobacillaceae
Description: Lacticaseibacillus sp. KACC 23028 tRNA-Asp
Rfam family: tRNA
About the family: Transfer RNA (tRNA) molecules are approximately 80 nucleotides in length. Their secondary structure includes four short double-helical elements and three loops (D, anti-codon, and T loops). Further hydrogen bonds mediate the characteristic L-shaped molecular structure. tRNAs have two regions of fundamental functional importance: the anti-codon, which is responsible for specific mRNA codon recognition, and the 3' end, to which the tRNAs corresponding amino acid is attached (by aminoacyl-tRNA synthetases). tRNAs cope with the degeneracy of the genetic code in two manners: having more than one tRNA (with a specific anti-codon) for a particular amino acid; and 'wobble' base-pairing, i.e. permitting non-standard base-pairing at the 3rd anti-codon position.
Source: RNAcentral
GGUCGCAUGGUUUAGUUGGUUAGGACGCCUCCCUGUCACGGAGGAGAUCAUGGGUUCGAGUCCCAUUGCGACCG